UACGUAGGGGGCAAGCGUUGUCCGGAUUUAUUGGGCGUAAAGCGCCCGCAGGCGGUCGCGUCAGUUUGGGGUGACAGCUCCUGGCUUAACCGGGAGAGGACCUCGAAGACGGCGUGACUUGAGGGCCAGAGAGGGACAUGGAACUCCGGGUGGAGUGGUGAAAUGCGUAGAGAUCCGGAAGAACACCAAAGGCGAAGGCAGUGUCCUGGCUGGUACCUGACGCUGAGGGGCGAAAGCGAGGGGAGCGAACGGG
RNAcentral lists this ribosomal RNA (253 nucleotides) under uncultured prokaryote. Its description in RNAcentral is "partial 16S ribosomal RNA". It matches the Rfam family "Bacterial small subunit ribosomal RNA", at positions 524 to 776 of the family's 1533-position model. The record is from RNAcentral.